AGUGAACGCUGGCGGUAGGCCUAACACAUGCAAGUCGAACGGCAGCACAGUAAGCGCUUGCUCUUACGGGUGGCGAGUGGCGGACGGGUGAGGAAUACAUCGGAAUCUACUUUUUCGUGGGGGAUAACGUAGGGAAACUUACGCUAAUACCUCAUACGACCUACGGGUGAAAGCAGUGGAUCUUCGGACCUUGCGCGAUUGAAUGAGCCGAUGUCGGAUUAGCUAGUUGGCGGGGUAAAGGCCCACCAAGGCGACGAUCCGUAGCUGGUCUGAGAGGAUGAUCAGCCAAACUGGAAAUGAGAAAAGGGCCAGACUCCUAAGGGAGGCAGCAGUGGGGAAUAUUGGACAAAGGGCGCAAGCCUGAUCCAGCCAAACCGCGUGGGUGAAGAAGGCCUUCGGGUUGUAAAGCCCUUUUGUUGGGAAAGAAAAGCAGCAGGUUAAUACCCCGCUGUUCUGAAGGUACCCAAAGAAUAAGCACCGGCUAACUUCGUG
RNAcentral lists this ribosomal RNA (492 nucleotides) under uncultured bacterium. Its description in RNAcentral is "partial 16S ribosomal RNA". It matches the Rfam family "Bacterial small subunit ribosomal RNA", at positions 29 to 507 of the family's 1533-position model. The record is from RNAcentral.